GACGAACGCUGGCGGCGUGCCUAAUACAUGCAAGUAGAACGCUGAAGAGAGGAGCUUGCUCUUCUUGGAUGAGUUGCGAACGGGUGAGUAACGCGUAGGUAACCUGCCUUGUAGCGGGGGAUAACUAUUGGAAACGAUAGCUAAUACCGCAUAACAAUGGAUGACCCAUGUCAUUUACUUGAAAGGGGCAAAUGCUCCACUACAAGAUGGACCUGCGUUGUAUUAGCUAGUAGGUGAGGUAACGGCUCACCUAGGCGACGAUACAUAGCCGACCCGAGAGGGCGAUCGGCCACACUGGGACUGAGACACGGCCCAGACUCCUACGGGAGGCAGCAGUAGGGAAUCUUCGGCAAUGGGGGCAACCCUGACCGAGCAACGCCGCGUGAGUGAAGAAGGUUUUCGGAUCGUAAAGCUCUGUUGUAAGUCAAGAACGAGUGUGAGAGUGGAAAGUUCACACUGUGACGGUAGCUUACCAGAAAGGGACGGCUAACUACGUGCCAGCAGCCGCGGUAAUACGUAGGUCCCGAGCGUUGUCCGGAUUUAUUGGGCGUAAAGCGAGCGCAGGCGGUUUGAUAAGUCUGAAGUUAAAGGCUGUGGCUCAACCAUAGUUCGCUUUGGAAACUGUCAAACUUGAGUGCAGAAGGGGAGAGUGGAAUUCCAUGUGUAGCGGUGAAAUGCGUAGAUAUAUGGAGGAACACCGGUGGCGAAAGCGGCUCUCUGGUCUGUAACUGACGCUGAGGCUCGAAAGCGUGGGGAGCGAACAGGAUUAGAUACCCUGGUAGUCCACGCCGUAAACGAUGAGUGCUAGGUGUUGGAUCCUUUCCGGGAUUCAGUGCCGCAGCUAACGCAUUAAGCACUCCGCCUGGGGAGUACGACCGCAAGGUUGAAACUCAAAGGAAUUGACGGGGGCCCGCACAAGCGGUGGAGCAUGUGGUUUAAUUCGAAGCAACGCGAAGAACCUUACCAGGUCUUGACAUCCCGAUGCUAUUUCUAGAGAUAGAAAGUUACUUCGGUACAUCGGUGACAGGUGGUGCAUGGUUGUCGUCAGCUCGUGUCGUGAGAUGUUGGGUUAAGUCCCGCAACGAGCGCAACCCCUAUCGUUAGUUGCCAUCAUUCAGUUGGGCACUCUAGCGAGACUGCCGGUAAUAAACCGGAGGAAGGUGGGGAUGACGUCAAAUCAUCAUGCCCCUUAUGACCUGGGCUACACACGUGCUACAAUGGUUGGUACAACGAGUUGCGAGUCGGUGACGGCAAGCUAAUCUCUUAAAGCCAAUCUCAGUUCGGAUUGUAGGCUGCAACUCGCCUACAUGAAGUCGGAAUCGCUAGUAAUCGCGGAUCAGCACGCCGCGGUGAAUACGUUCCCGGGCCU
This 1369-nucleotide ribosomal RNA is filed under the name uncultured bacterium. Its description in RNAcentral is "bacterial SSU rRNA". It matches the Rfam family "Bacterial small subunit ribosomal RNA", at positions 28 to 1381 of the family's 1533-position model. The record is from RNAcentral.